UAUGAGUAAUCUCCUACUACCACUUGGUU
Molecule: small RNA, 29 nt
Filed under: Bombyx mori (domestic silkworm)
Lineage: Eukaryota; Metazoa; Arthropoda; Insecta; Lepidoptera; Bombycidae
Description: ovarian small RNA-23890
Source: RNAcentral